GUACCUGGAGAAAGGACACACACUUUUGAGGACAAGGUCAGGGGAUAAGACUUCUUUGAACACCACAAAGGACCAUCCAGUCUCACCUUGGCCUGAUCCUGAGCAUCCUUCCUCCUUGCCCAGAUCACCACCAGCACGUAGGCCACGCAGAGACAGCCCACAGUGGUCACGACCACAGGGUUGUCCUCGAAGGUGGCAAAGAGCUGCCUGGUCUGGCGGACAUCUAUGGCAUUGGGCAUCACCAAGAAUGUGCUUCCAAAGAAGGUAUUUGAUCUCUAGGAAGCAUCUUGCACUGAAAAUUCUUUCUCAACUCCUGCCUCUAGAGAACCCAACUCAUAACAUCUCUGCAGUAAUCCUGGCAGCUCCCUCCUACCAGUCAAGGCACAUGCUCGCUGCUGAGCAGUUGUGUCUGACCUGCUUAUGCCCAAGUCCCUUGUGCUCGUGACUGUAAAGGUCAAUUUUAAUCAUGUAUUUCACACAGUGGCAAAGUAGGAGUGUGGAAAGAAUGAUUUGCAUAAAAACUUAAGUUGAAUGUUUUGAGAAGAUAAUAAAGAUGAGUUGCUAAAAAUUGUUAUUGAAUUAGUCAUUGAUGCAAAAACCAUAAGGGAUUAGAAAAAAAUCAUUAAACUCUCCAAAGAAUCUGAACUCAUGUGGCACUGUGGUGUGCUUACAUCUUUCAUUAACUGUAAAGAAAAUCUAUCUGGACCUUUCAGAGGCUGUGUUAUGUAAUGAAGAUGAUUAAAAUUCUAACAACAGAUUUAAAGAAACUUUUUAGUUGUAUACCCAAAAUUUAUACUGAUGUACUUUUAUAGUUUUCAGUUAAAAUACAAUGUUUAAGAUAGGAUCAUUUUUUUAUAAUUCUCCUCCUUAAUGUGUAUUCUU
This is a long non-coding RNA of Phyllostomus discolor (pale spear-nosed bat), 882 nucleotides long. RefSeq lists it as uncharacterized. The transcript is spliced from 3 exons. Lineage: Eukaryota; Metazoa; Chordata; Mammalia; Chiroptera; Phyllostomidae. The record is from RefSeq and is a predicted model, not a curated record.